CGCCUGCCCCCGCCGGCCCGCGCCCGUGACUCACCUCGGCGCCGGGGCAGGCUGGUCCGGGCGGGCGAGGCGCAGGGCUCUCCCACACGUCGCGCCGCCAAUGGCAAGUUGGAGGGCGAGAUGCAAAUACCAGGCCUUGCAAAGUGGCUGCCCAGGUCCAUGAAAGUAAUAGGUGACAGAGCUGGGACUCUAAGCAAGAAGAGUACUCUUUCCACUGUGCUGCACUGCUUUGCCAGAAACACAGGAGCAGGGAGCACUUCCAGGACCUCGGAAAGAAACAUAGGAAGAAGAGAAAUGGGGAGACAGCAAAGAUUCCACGGGGAGGGUGAGAAUAAUAGGCCUGAGGAAAAGUGAACAGAGAUAUGGGAUUUCUCCAGACAAAAGGACUGUAAGCUCCACCCUGGACUGAACACAGUGUUCCUGGGAAUGACAGAAGAUGCAACCAGAGAAUGGGAAAGAACCAUGGUUGGAAAGAAAAGCCUAGGAUACAUAGAAGCAAGACAAGAAAACAUCCUGAGGGGCAUUAGCUUCCUGCUGGAACUCACACAUCAUUCUCCUGGUACUUAUGUUGCAUUAAAAGUCCCCAGUGGGGAAAAAA
This is a long non-coding RNA of Cavia porcellus (domestic guinea pig), 598 nucleotides long. RefSeq lists it as uncharacterized. Lineage: Eukaryota; Metazoa; Chordata; Mammalia; Rodentia; Caviidae. The record is from RefSeq and is a predicted model, not a curated record. The transcript has 2 exons.